Molecule: long non-coding RNA, 2829 nt
Filed under: Podarcis lilfordi (Lilford's wall lizard)
Lineage: Eukaryota; Metazoa; Chordata; Lepidosauria; Squamata; Lacertidae
Source: RNAcentral
GGGUUUGUGUGUGUCUUUAGCCCUGGGUCUUUUGGUCCCCCGCCCAGAUCUCCUGCUCUUUCCCUCCCCCUUUUCACCCCAGCUGCCUUUUUGCUCUGCUUACGGGUUGGCUGGGUGCAUUACAAACCCUGGUGCCAGCGAAACCCAGCCAACUGCCAUCUUAAUUUGCCCGGAGGCCUGUGUGGCCCACGUCUCUUAAUUACCUGCUGCCCUGCCGAUGGGCAUGACUCAAGCGACAUUCCAAAGCAGCUUCAAACAAAGAGGGGCCUAAUUUGCCCAUCGGGGUCUGUUGCCAUGGAAACAUACGAACACAGGAGGACCAUUGGCCCAUCUGGCUUCAGUCGCCGGCAGUAGAAGCUCUCCAAGGUUCCAGACAAAGGUCUUUUACCUGGUGCUUUUUUUCAGCCAGAGAGCACCGGAGCACAGUUCCGGCAGCUCUCAUGUGUGUGCCGUUGUUGGCUAGCGCUCCCUCCACCUGCGUCUUGCCUUUUACAUACUUCUGAGAAGCCCCAAACGAACAUUUCAAGUCAAAACGGAAACUGGCCAGUGUGUGUGUUAUGUACUGAAUUGAAUAGGAUCCAAAAUGCAGCAGUCUGAUUGGUCCUAGAAAAAUAGGAUCCAAAAUGCAGCAGUCUGAUUGGUCUGCAGGAGCCACCCAAUCCAGCUCCAGGUGGAAGUGAAUCCACAACCUGAUUGGCCUACAGGAGAAUUCCGGAAUUAGCCAAUCACGUGCAGCCCAUUGUGUAAAUAAUGUAUAUAAAGCAGGCAUUCUGGGGGAACUUCCAUUCCUCCUCACCACUAUGAGCUGAAUAAAGAGCAUGAAAUCCAUUCUCGACUCUGAGUAUAUUUCAGUGUGUAAGACCCCUUUUUUUAGAUCUACGGCUCCACCUAGCUCCUAGCCGCUCCUAACCAUAAUUGGUCCAGCUACAGCGCGGGCCCAAUUUGUAUUUCCUUUUCCUCAGUCCGUCUCCCGUGUAGCGGCAGCAGGCUUUAAGCUUUCCAUCCAUGCUCUACCAUUGCGCACGUGUGCACAAGGUCCCUUCCGAGCUGCCCUAACCAUCCGUCUGAAUCUAAGAGAAUGAGGGAGGUGGGGUGCAGUUAUUUGACUUGCACCAGAACUGGGGGCAACCCCCAAACCAGCUAGGAAGACAGCUUGCCAUAGUUUUUAGCACCUCCACAGGCAGUGAAUGCAGCAAUUGUCAAACCGGCAUUUGUUGAGGGCUGCCCCGAGUCGCUGUAGCAACUUCAUGGUGUGUUAUGGCACCUGUUUUUCUAGAGAGUGAGAAAAGCGCUGGUCUUCCCCAACUUAUGGCUAAGCUGACUCAAAAACGCCCACCCACCCCACUCACACACAAAAACAAAGUUCACCGCAGCCAAUCACAAACAAGCAACCGCACCCUAGGCCAACCCCAAUUUCUCUCACCACCAAAGGAACACAAGCGAAUGGCAAAGAGAACCCGCACAAACGAUGCUGACACAAAACCCCCCACACACAUUAAGCAAAUUGGAAACAUCGCCUCCCGACCCCCACGCCCACUCGCCUUUCCCCCCUCCACCUCUCCCCCCCCCUUUUCUUCCUAAUGUAACCCUGAUGUCUCAACAAAUGAAACUGACCUAUGGAAAACGUAACUUGAAAAAAGAGACAUUGCGCAUACCUUUGUAAACCAAGAAAACUUUAUUAAUAAAAAUAUUUAUUUAUUUUACAAAAAGAGGAAAAUACUUGGAGAUGCUGGGGAUAGAGACCAGAACCCGCUGCGUGCUUAGCUGAUGCUGUGCCACUGAGCUACACUGAGCCUCAAGCUCCCUUAUACUGAGUCAGUCCAUUGGUCCAUCUAAUUCAGUACUGCCUACAUGGACUGGAAGUGCCGCCUCUGGGUUUCAGAUUGCGGACAUUCUCAGCCCCUCCUGGAGAUGCCAGGGUUUGAACCUGCGACCCCUUGUGUCACGAGGGAGCUGACAGGCAGCACACCUCCUCAUCUGUCCAGUCCCUGAGAUCUUGCAUGCUAAGCUGAUGCUCUGCCACAGAGCUACAUCUCUCCCUUGAGGGCCAGUGUGGUGUAGUGGUUCAGAGCAGUGGACUCGUAAUCUGGUGAACCGGGUUCGAUUCCCUCUCCUCCACCUGCAGCUGCUGGGUGACCUCGGGCCAGUCACACUUCUCUGAAGUCUCUCAGCUUCACUCACCUCACAGAGUGUUUGUUGUGGGGGAGGAAGGGAAAGGAGAUGGUUAGCCGCUUUGAGACUCCUUAGGGUAAUGAUAAAGCGGGAUAUCAAAUCCAAACUCUUCUUCUUCUUCUUCCUCCCCCAAUUCCUCAGCAACCAAAGCAAGCCGAUCUGAAAAGGACACCCGAUUUAUCAUAGUGGCCUGAACCAUGGCUCAGAAGAGCAGUACAGUUGUACCUCAGAAGUCAAACGGAAUCCCUUCCGGAAGUCCGUUCGACUUCCAAAACGUUCAAAAACCAAAGCUCAGCUUCAGAUUGGCUGCAGGAAGCUGGGGAAGCCCCAUCAGAUGUUUGGCUUCCAAAACUUGUUCAAAAACCGGAACACUCACUUCCAGGUUUCGAUCGUUCGGGGUCAGAUUUGUUCAGGAGCCAAGGCGUUCGAGAUCCAAGGUACGACUGUAGAAAUGCCGGUGGGAAAGCAAGGGGCAUUUUGCAGCCUGCAACAGCCGGCCGGUCCUACAGGGGAGCAAGAAAUGCAGAUUCUAGGUUCUGUUUGUUUUUCUCUCACAUACAGCCCCUAUGCAGAGAGCCAUAAAAGAUUUUUCUUUUCCCCCCUUUCCUCCCAGAGACCAAACAAGUUCCACCAGGUGGCUUUAAGCCUCUUGAAAUU